Non-coding RNA from Trichonephila inaurata madagascariensis, 74 nucleotides. NCBI's taxonomy places the organism in Eukaryota, Metazoa, Arthropoda, Arachnida, Araneae, Nephilidae. The record is from the annotation of a GenBank genome assembly.
UACCCUGUAGCACAGUGGAUAGCGCAUUGGACUUCUAAUCCAAAGGUUGUGGGGUCGAAUCCCACCUAGGGUAG